Long non-coding RNA from Malaclemys terrapin pileata, 929 nucleotides. RefSeq lists it as uncharacterized. Lineage: Eukaryota; Metazoa; Chordata; Testudines; Emydidae. The record is from RefSeq and is a predicted model, not a curated record. The transcript is spliced from 2 exons.
CUUAAGAAGGGGAAAGAACAGUCAUUUCCAUUACACGCCCCCACCAUUGUUGAACCUGCAGGUCUACCAGACUCUGUCUGCUGUCUGAGGAGUGAAAGUAUUUCCUGCUGCAUGCCCUUCUCCUUUGCCUUUCUUCUCUCUACUCUGUCCACCUUUGCAGACAGCAUGGAGAAGAUCUCCAGGCCUUGAGUUCAUUCUCUGAUGCAGCACUGGCUUGCAGGAUCUCCUGGAACAUGUCAUCCUUAUCUGGCUUAGGUGUCCCACGGGUGUGGAGGUGGAGACCCUGAAAACUGCAAUGGUAGCAGCUGCAGAUACAACACACAGAGCUGCAAAUUUUUCAAGCCUCCCUCCUCUGUCCAGAAGGCUAUCUCAGAUAAGGCGGUGAAAAAACGGAUGUGAGACGAAAUAUUCUCAGAAAUCAUGGAAUUGACCCGCAAUGAAAGAGCUCAUCUGAAUGAGUGGAAGGUCACCCUAUCCCAGUACAGGAAAGCUUCCAGUGAACGUGAGGCAAUGAGGAACGAAUGGGAGAAGAGGAGAGAUGCUCGAGAUGAGAGGUGGCAAGAUGCAACGCUGGGGCUGCUGCGUGAUCAAACGGACAUGCUCCGGCGUCUGGUGGAGCUUCAGGAACGGCAGCAGGAUCACAGAGUACUGCUGCAGCCCCUGUAUAACCGCCCUUCCCCCUCACCAUGUUCCAUAGCCUCCUCACCCAGACGUGUAAGAACGCGGGGGGGGGGGGAGAGUGAGGGAGGCUCCAUGCACCCGCCCACUCCACCCCAGUGGACAGCCCAAGCAAAAGGCUGUCAUUAUUUUGAACUUUUGAAGUUGCCUUUUCCUUCCCUCCUAUCCUCCUCCCAAACCCCACCCGGGCUACCUUGUCAGUUCUCUCCCUCUUUUUAUAAUCAAUUAAUAAAGAAUAUAUGAUUUUUAAA